RNAcentral lists this ribosomal RNA (305 nucleotides) under uncultured bacterium. RNAcentral describes it as "bacterial SSU rRNA". It matches the Rfam family "Bacterial small subunit ribosomal RNA", at positions 335 to 638 of the family's 1533-position model. The record is from RNAcentral.
CUUCCUACGGGGGGCAGCAGUGAGGAAUAUUGGUCAAUGGGCGUAAGCCUGAACCAGCCAAGUCGCGUGAGGGACGACGGCCCUACGGGUUGUAAACCUCUUUUGCCGGGGGACAAACGGCGGCACGCGUGCCGUCCUGAGGGUACCCGGAGAAAAAGCAUCGGCUAACUCCGUGCCAGCAGCCGCGGUAAUACGGAGGAUGCGAGCGUUAUCCGGAUUUAUUGGGUUUAAAGGGUGCGCAGGCGGAAUGUCAAGUCAGCGGUAAAAUUUCGGGGCUCAACCCCGUCGUGCCGUUGAAACUGGCG